AUAGAGUGACCCUGCCGUGGUGUUCGGGAAGACCGGUGACGGACCCAGUGGGUCCCAGGCCGGAGCGGCCCUCGCCACUGUGAUCGGGGAGUUUCCGUCCCUCUUCCGUAUGCGCGGCCCCGCGGAUACGGCGCCACUGACCGCAGCCCGCGGCCGGGAAGGCGGGGACGGGCGCGCACCACCCGUAAGCCAGGAGACCGGCCACGGCAUCUCACGAACU
Molecule: non-coding RNA, 220 nt
Filed under: Streptomyces natalensis
Lineage: Bacteria; Bacillati; Actinomycetota; Actinomycetes; Kitasatosporales; Streptomycetaceae
Source: RNAcentral